AGUUGAUGCUUGCCUGUCCCAGUGGAAUUAAUGGAAGCUGUCAACAGCCCGCCCCCGACCUCACUGGAUAUAACUGUGUCCUCGGCAGACGAGAGAAUAACCAGAGGAAGGGCUGAAAAUCCUGGAGAACACCAACAUUAACAAGCUUCAGUUUGUCAGAACCAGUUGGGAUGCAACAGGAUUUUCAGUUUUGCUGCCUUCCAUGCAUGAAUGGCUGUUGGAAUGACCAAGAUGAUUUUUCCACCCAUUCUUGGGACCUGGACUAUGAUGGCCACAGCAGCUAAAGAUGCCAGGUUCUGCAUACUAUGAAACUACUACAUCAGCAGGUCCAAAGGACUCCACUGACUCAACUGAUCUGAGGGACCCCAUGAGAAGCCUACUCAUCAAAGAAUGCAGUUUCUAAAUCCUGAUGAGUUCACCCCCCUUGCCCUGACCAAUCAACAAUCCUAAUUCUCCAGUCCCUUGCCCUCCAUGAUCCUCUUAAAAACCCUAGCCCAGAAUUCCUCAGGAAGAUGGAUUUGAGGGUCUCCUUCCAACUCCUCACUCAGCGCCCUGUGGUCAUUAAACUUUCUCUGCUGCA
Molecule: long non-coding RNA, 580 nt
Organism: Homo sapiens (human)
Lineage: Eukaryota; Metazoa; Chordata; Mammalia; Primates; Hominidae
Product: long independently transcribed non-coding RNA 2386
Exons: 5
Source: RefSeq, marked validated